UACGUAGGGUGCAAGCGUUAAUCGGAAUUACUGGGCGUAAAGCGUGCGCAGGCGGUUCGCCGUGUCCUGUGUGAAAGCCCCGGGCUCAACCUGGGAAUGGCAUGGGAAACUGGCGGGCUUGAGUGUGGCAGAGGGGGGUGGAAUUCCGCGUGUAGCAGUGAAAUGCGUAGAGAUGCGGAGGAACACCGAUGGCGAAGGCAGCCCCCUGGGCCAACACUGACGCUCAGGCACGAAAGCGUGGGGAGCAAACAGG
RNAcentral lists this ribosomal RNA (253 nucleotides) under uncultured bacterium. Its description in RNAcentral is "partial 16S ribosomal RNA". It matches the Rfam family "Bacterial small subunit ribosomal RNA", at positions 524 to 776 of the family's 1533-position model. The record is from RNAcentral.